Molecule: long non-coding RNA, 2075 nt
Organism: Sapajus apella (tufted capuchin)
Lineage: Eukaryota; Metazoa; Chordata; Mammalia; Primates; Cebidae
Exons: 2
Source: RefSeq, a predicted model, not a curated record
GACCAUUGACUGAUUGCUGACGACUAUGUGUAGACUAACUUGAAAUGUGAAACUUUUCAAUAAGUCCUUGAGGAGUCCCUACACUUUUGUGGUUUUUACCUCCAGGAGCCCCACCAGGUUCUCAGAGUGAAAAGGGGUAGGUAGAGCAGGGUAACCAUUUGGAAACAUGGCCAGAGGAUUCUGUUCUUCUUAACAAAAGCUUAUUUUUGAAAGAAACUAUUUUUCCUGAUUACAUUGUUUUUUUAACAGAAUCUAUCUCACUGCAGGAUGGAAAAUACUCUACCCCACACUAGCUAAAAAGCAAAAACAGAGUUUGAAGAGACAGAGAAAACAUUGGAGCAAGACUCAACUAUGGCAGAGAUGGUAUCACACGGGCAUUUUGAAAUGACUAUGCUUAAUGUGCUAAAGGAGUAAUGGAAAAAAUGGACAGCAUGCAAUAAGUGAUGAGUAAGUUCAGCAGAGAGAUGGACAUUCUAAAGGAAUGCUAGAAAAAAAAUAUUGUUACAGAAAUGAAGAAUGAGCUCAAUUGAUGGGCUUUUUGGCAGCCUAAACACAGCUGAGGACAGAAUCAACUGUGCCUCCUGGAAAAUAUGCCAGUGGAAACCUUCAAAACUGAAAAGCAAAGAGAAAGACUUAAGAAAACAGAACAGAAAAUCUAAGAACUGUGGAAUAAUAACAGAAGAUGCAAUACCUAUGUAAUUAGAAUACCAGAAACGAAAGAAAGAAAGAAAGAAAGAAAGAAAGAAAGAAAGAAAGAAAGAAAGAAAGCAAGCAAGCAGAAGAGAUACUUGUAGCAAAUAGUGACCGAAAAUAUCCCAAGAUUAAUGCCAGACACCAAACCACAGUUCCAGGAAUGCUCAGCGAACACUAAGAAGAAUAAUGGCAAACAAACAAACACAAACAUAAAAAGCCUGUACCUAGGCAUAUGAUUUUCAAACUGAAGAAUUUCAAAUGUAAAGACAAUAAUCUGGACGAUACCAGAGGGGAAAAACACCUUAUUUAUAGAGGAGCAGGGAUAAGAAUUAUAUUGAGCUUUUCUUUAAAAACCAUGCAGGCAAGAAAAGCGCAGGGUGAAAUAUUUAAAGCAUUGCAAGAAAAAAGAAUCAUCGGCGUAGAUAAAGACUUUCUCAGACAAAGAGAAAUUGUUCAGAUUUGUCUUCAAUAGACUUGCCUUGCAAGAAAUUUUAAAAGUUCUUCAAGCCUGGUGCAGUGGUGUGCACCUGGGAUUCCCAACAAUUUAGUGGCUGAGGCAGGGAGGAUCAUUCAAGCCCAGGAAUUCAAGUCCAGUCUGAGCAACAACAGAGACCAAGACCACAUUUCAAGAAAAGGAGGAGGAGAAGAUGAUUAACUUUAGCUAGCUCUGAUAACACUGCAGCCUAAUCCAUCCUCCAUCCCCAAGCAUUUACUGAUGUAGCUGACUCUUUAGUAAUCAGAGCAUUUGUUUAUUGUUACUUUAUCUUUUCUCUCUCUUCCUCUUCACCUACACACACAGAUUCUUUUUUUUUCCCCUCAGCUGAUGCUAGUUUCUUGAGGGCAGGAAUAGGAUUUCAAUUUAAUUGUCUCAAGUAACUUCUGUGAUGCUCUGCAGGGCAUGUAAAUAGGGUGUGUUUAACAGAGGCAGGUGGAUUGAAUCUAUCGUUAGCCCUAUCGUUCUUUUCGGUUGCAUAAGUGGGUGCAAUCAGACAUGUACAUAUUUGUGACCAUAACAAAAAUGGAAAUAACUGUGAACAUAAACAACUUUUAUUUGUGUGGUAAUUUUCAGUUUGUUCUUUCUUCCUGAAAAGUUAUUUCCCUACCUCUUUCUAUAUAUGGCGAGUCUCAUCUUUUGGGUCUCUCUCAAAUGUUACUUCCAGUUUGUUAAUAUUUUCUGAUUUCCCCCUCACCUUUAUCUCAAUGGUUUCUAAGCUUUCCAAGACUUUCUGGGCAUUAUACUAAUCCUGGAAGAAUUUUUAGAAUACAGAUUCCUGUACCCAGCCCCAGAAAUACAGAAUCAGGAAUGCUUAGAUACAGUUCCAUGAGUCUGAUUCUCAUGCCAGCAAAACUAGUUUGGUGCACUAUUUUUUUGAAAAAAAAAA